Molecule: non-coding RNA, 29 nt
Filed under: Mus musculus (house mouse)
Lineage: Eukaryota; Metazoa; Chordata; Mammalia; Rodentia; Muridae
Source: RNAcentral
UGGGAGGUGAUCUUGGAAUAUAACUUUGA